Molecule: ribosomal RNA, 1097 nt
Filed under: Capnobotryella renispora
Lineage: Eukaryota; Fungi; Ascomycota; Dothideomycetes; Mycosphaerellales; Teratosphaeriaceae
Description: bacterial SSU rRNA
Rfam family: Eukaryotic small subunit ribosomal RNA
Source: RNAcentral
UAGUCAUAUGCUUGUCUCAAAGAUUAAGCCAUGCAUGUCUAAGUAUAAGCAACUAUACGGUGAAACUGCGAAUGGCUCAUUAAAUCAGUUAUCGUUUAUUUGAUAGUACCUUACUACUUGGAUAACCGUGGUAAUUCUAGAGCUAAUACAUGCUAAAAACCCCGACUUCGGAAGGGGUGUAUUUAUUAGAUAAAAAACCAAUGCCCCCCGGGGGGCCCUUGGUGAAUCAUAAUAACUUAACCAAUCCCAUGGCUUGCCCCCGGAAAGGGUCCAUCCAAUUUCCUCCCUAUCACUUUCCAAGGUUAGAAAAUGCCUACCCUGGUUUCCACCGGUUACCGGGAAUUAAGGUUCCUUUCCCGAAAAGGAACCUUAAAAACCGGUUCCCCCUCCCAAGAAGGCACCAGGCCCCCAAUUACCCCAUCCCCAACCCGGGAAGUUGUUACCAUUAAUUCUGAUACCGGGCCCUUUGGGUUCUGUUAUUGGAAUGAGUACAAUUUAAAUCCUUUAACGAGGAACAAUUGGAGGGCAAGUUUGGUGCCAGCAGCAGCAGUAAUUCCAGCUCCAAUAGCGUAUAUUAAAGUUGUUGCAGUUACAAAGCUCGUAGUUGAACCUUGGGCCUGGAUGGCCGGUCCGCCUCACCGCGUGUACUGGUCCGGCCGGGCCUUUCCUUCUGGGGAGCCGCAUGCCCUUCACUGGGCUGCAGGGGAACCAGGACUUUUACUUUGAAAAAAUUAGAGGGUUCAAAGCAGGCCUUUGCUCGAAAACAUAGACAUGGAAUAAUAGAAUAGGACGUGCGGUUCUAUUUUGUUGGUUUCUAGGACCGCCGUAAUGAUUAAUAGGGAUAGUCGGGGGCAUCAGUAUUCAAUUGUCAGAGGUGAAAUUCUUGGAUUUAUUGAAGACUAACUACUGCGAAAGCAUUUGCCAAGGAUGUUUUCAUUAAUCAGUGAACGAAAGUUAGGGGAUCGAAGACGAUCAGAUACCGUCGUAGUCUUAACCAUAAACUAUGCCGACUAGGGAUCGGUGGGUGUUAUCAUUUUGACUCGCUCGGCACCUUACGAGAAAUCAAAGUUUUUGGGUUCUGGGGGGAGUAUGGUCGC